UACGGAGGUGGCGAGCGUUGUCCGAAUUUAUUGGGCGUAAAGCGCGCGUAGGCGGGGCGUUCAGUCGGUUGUGAAAGGCCAGGGCUUAACCCUGGGACUGCGACCGAUACUGGCGCUCUUGAGUGCGGGAGGGGGAAGCGGAAUUGCUGGUGUAGCGGUGAAAUGCGUAGAUAUCAGCAGGAACACCGGUGGCGAAGGCGGCUUCCUGGACCGUAACUGACGCUGAGGCGCGAAAGCCAGGGGAGCGAACGGG
This 253-nucleotide ribosomal RNA is filed under the name uncultured bacterium. RNAcentral's name for it is "partial 16S ribosomal RNA". It matches the Rfam family "Bacterial small subunit ribosomal RNA", at positions 524 to 776 of the family's 1533-position model. The record is from RNAcentral.